AAAACAUUCAAUUUCUUUCUCUGCAGAGAUGAAGUGGAAUCUUUCUUCAAUCUGGAGUCUCUAAUUUCAUCAAAGCAAAGGUGAAAACAAAUACAUAUAAGACAGCCCUGAAAUCCAAAUAUAGAGGAAACAAGAAGCUGAAAGUAGAAAGAACAAGAAGCUGAAUACAGUAGAGAAGUACAGAGCAAUAGGUACGCGCAGAGAAAUUCAGAGCAACAAGUAUGCAGAUUGCAAAAAAUGCAGACCAACAGGUUGUUGGUGGUUGCAUUUUCAUCAUGAUCGGAAGAUGAAAAUAGAAAUUACCCUUAUCAAUGAUAGAAAUUACCCUAAUACCUGCUAUGUCUUCGUCAUUAUCACAAGAUGUAGAAAGACUUUUUU
Long non-coding RNA from Quercus robur (English oak), 378 nucleotides. RefSeq lists it as uncharacterized. The transcript has 3 exons. NCBI's taxonomy places the organism in Eukaryota, Viridiplantae, Streptophyta, Magnoliopsida, Fagales, Fagaceae. The record is from RefSeq and is a predicted model, not a curated record.